GUGCUCGCUUCGGCAGCACAUAUACUAAAAUUGGAACGAUACAGAGAAGAUUAGCAUGGCCUCUGCGCAAGGAUUACACGCAAAUUCGUGUAAUAUUUAAAAAAAUAUU
Molecule: small nuclear RNA, 109 nt
Filed under: Tursiops truncatus (common bottlenose dolphin)
Lineage: Eukaryota; Metazoa; Chordata; Mammalia; Artiodactyla; Delphinidae
Source: RNAcentral